RNAcentral lists this long non-coding RNA (806 nucleotides) under Dasypus novemcinctus (nine-banded armadillo). Its description in RNAcentral is "lncRNA (ENSDNOG00000052021.1)". The record is from RNAcentral. Lineage: Eukaryota; Metazoa; Chordata; Mammalia; Cingulata; Dasypodidae.
GACUCAUUCUGGUACACAGCAGAGUGGGACUUCUAGACCAGUUUUCUCCUCCCAGACUUUGCAAGACAGUGCAGACCACUGAGACAUUUGAAAUGAGAUAGGAUUAGGUAAAACAAUUUUUAAAAAUUUCCCUGCCCUGGAAUCAAGGAUGAAUAGGAUUUGGGUGGGAGGAGUUAGUGGUGGGGUUGGAGGAAAGAGCCUGAGAUACUUUCAGAAGACUGAGUGAGGCCAGCGGGAACUCCCUUUGCCCCUGGGAUAAUGGGAGUGGGGAGCAGGACUGAGGACCCACAGCCAGGCAGGAACAGGCUCUAGCCCACAAAGUCUCCUAAUUUCCUAAAUAGGGGAGUGAGCUGGCUGAGGGCGCUGUUGUACCAGCACCAAGAAGUGCCUUUGUAAAGCACAGGAGGCAUCGGAGCAUGCACUUGCACUGUUGCACUGGAGUGAGGAGUGAUUGCAACUCUUCAGAAUCAUCCACACCUGGGAGAUAUGAGGGAGCCCGGUGGCCGCUCUCUAACCAACACAGGAUCACCCACAAAGAGGUCAGGUCACCAGGACGUCGUCAGAUAGCCACAGCAAAGGACGCAAAAUUCCCUCCCCCCAAGUCCAGAAAUAAGGUCCCUCAGGUUCCUCAAUUCAGCCAAGAGUGCUUUUCAAAGGAAGAUUCCAAUUGUUGGAUGCUUGUUGACCUUAAUUACUUAGGUAAGUUUCCUCAAAGUUCUCCUGGGCACAGUUUUCACUGGAUUCCACCUGAUACAAAUCCACAAAUAUUCAAUGAUGACAUGAAAACUGUAUCUGUUGAUUUGUAA